GGCAUGGUGGCCAAUUGGUAAGGCGUCUGUCUCGUAAACCGAAGACCAUGGGUUCAAAUCCCAUCCGUGCCU
Non-coding RNA from Oncorhynchus gorbuscha (pink salmon), 72 nucleotides. Lineage: Eukaryota; Metazoa; Chordata; Actinopteri; Salmoniformes; Salmonidae. The record is from the annotation of a RefSeq genome assembly.